This 1501-nucleotide long non-coding RNA is filed under the name Felis catus (domestic cat). RNAcentral's name for it is "lncRNA (ENSFCAG00000045236.2)". The record is from RNAcentral. Lineage: Eukaryota; Metazoa; Chordata; Mammalia; Carnivora; Felidae.
CCUCUUCCGACAACGCCUGCGCCUGCGUGGGAAGCCCGCAGCCUGCAGGAUUAGCUUCAUUUCCUCCAGGGCUUUCCCUCUGGCCUCCAGCUCUGGCUCCAGGCUGCUCUCUCGUGGACAGGGCUAACCCCGGCACAAAGUACAGUCUUUUGGCGGAAUCUGCCCUCAGGCCCUCCAGGACCUCCGGGUUCACGGAGCUGGACAAAGCCAACCUCCGCGCCCGGCCCCCACGCGGAAACUUCUUGCCAGGAAAGAUCAGCUGGUUUUCCCAAGCCUGGCUCUGACCUCGUGGACAGGAAGCACCUUGAAACAGUCUCUGCCGAAGGAUCACCACAACAGAGGCAGAAACCGGGAUCACUUUUUUGCUUGGAGGAAAUCUGUACGAAUGGGCAGUCCCUAAUAUUACCACGUCACAGAAUGGCAGGCCUGGAAGGGAGCUCUGAGGUCAACCUGUCCAGCUCCUUCGUGGUGCAGAUGGGGAAACUGAGGACCAGGUGGUAAGUAACCCCACCAAAGCCCAACAAUUAUUUGUUGAUGAGCUGGACUGCAGCACAGACCUUGGGACUCUUAGUCCAGUGCUCUGUGAGCUGAUUUUCUUCAGAAGUUGAGCUGUCCCAAGGAUUCAGAUCCCUUAGAAUAUAUGCAGUGUCUUAGUCGGGAACACAGAAUUGGGAAUCACAAUGACAUGGAUUUCAGUCCAAGCCCCCUACUUGACAUCUCGGUGACCUUAGGUAAUUUACACUACCUCUAAGCAUCUCAGUUUACUCAUCUGCAAAAAAAAAAAAAGGUUCUAGGGUUACCUUAUAGAAUAGGCCCAUCUCUUUAUAAGGCGGCGUGCACGUGAAGCUUGUGUGAAGGCCUGCCAUACAGCAGGAGCUCGGUGGCAACAAUGAUGGUGGUGAUGGUGGUGACAACAUUGUCGUUGAUGAUGGUUUUAAUGAUGGUUUUCUACCCUGCUACUUUCGUCCACUCUUCGCUAAAAGGGUGCAAGCCCAUCUUCUCUGAUCUUAAGAUUUGGCCAUAACAAAAUAUGGCCAAAAUGACUCAAGGUGAACACCAAAUUGAAACACUUGGCUAAAAAGAGGUGGUUCUAACUCUUAGUUAGAUAUAAAUUGACUGCAUUUAAGUUUGUUAAAUGUUAAUGUGCUGCCAGCAGCCUCCAAUCUAAUGGAACUGAUGUCUAGCUCCUGCAGUAGAAAAACUACUGAAGAGAGACUCAUUUGUUUUUCUUCUCUUUCCAAGUCUCUUCUCACCUCUGCCUGAAAAUAUAAAGAACCUUCGGUCCCCAAAUUAAUUAAGGAGUAAAAACGAAAGUGAAGCCUUACUUUAAAUCCAGCUCUCAGCAAGGGUGAGAGGAACACUUGGUGGGUUCCACAGUUAAGGAUGCUUAUUGUAUGACGUUCUCCCCUUCCUCUGUCUGCCAGCUUUGAACAAGGUAGGAAACGUGAGGCAGAGAGGACCUUGGGUUCCAUAGUUUCUAGGGGCCUGCUCAGACAACAUA